CGUGUGUGUGUGUGUCCGGGCGGCUCCGGGGCGCGAUGUCUCACGGAGCCGGGCUCGUCCGCACCACGGCCAGCAGCGGCGGCGGCGGCGGCGGCGGCGGCGGCGGCGGCGGCCCCCGGCCCGGCCCGGCCCCGCCCACCUUGGAAGGACCGGACCGGGGCUACACCCGCUCCUCCUCGGCCAUGCUCAAGAUCGGACAGAUGAUCACCCUGCUGAUUGGUUUCAUAUGCGUGAGGAGCUCACCAUGGACGGACUACAGUACAUACAGUUACUAUGAAGUGGUCACCAUAUGCGACUUGCUGAUGAUUCUUAUCUUCUACCUAGUCCAUGUUUUCCGAAUUUACAAAAUGCUGACCUGCAUCAGCUGGCCCCUUGCGGAAUAUCUUCAUUAUUUAAUCGGUACGAUCCUCCUUCUGAUUGCGUCCUUCCUGGCAGCUUUGAAGAGUCACAACAUAAGCGGACUUGUAGCCGGAGCGGUCUUUGGCUUCUUUGCUACCUUCCUCUGCACUAUGAGCAUAUGGUUAUCCUACAAGAUCUCCUGUAUUACCCAGGCAACGGGCCACGCUGCUUCCCUAAGAGGAUGGUAAGAGGAUGAGAGCCCAAGGAGGAGCCAGUCAACAAAACUGAGAAGGAACAGAGAGAUGCAGCUGCCUGACUGGAUCCUUGCCUCAAGAUACUCAAGUCCACCGAGGGAAAGCCGCCUGGCCCAGAAGGGGACACGUACCUGAUGGGCUGACUCACCUGGACGGGGAGGUCCCUCUGAAGACCAGCUGCAGAUGUGAAACGAAGAGGCUUUUUACCAAAGAUAGUGGUGCGAAAAUACUCUAAGCUGAUAAGAAUCUCUCUACAUUCCUUGAUCUUUGCUGAGACUUGCCAAGAUUCUCCCAGGAUUCUACUGGUCUUCCUCUCACCUCUUGCCCACAACCACCAUCUCCAUCCCAACUACUGCACAUCAGUCAUCUCUGGACAGAGGACUUGGUAGCUGCUUUUAUUGCUUCUGCCUUUUGCCACCUCAGGCUAAUUGCAAGACAGUUGCUCAAGGAGCUAGAAGAGGAGAUGCAGGAUUUGUCGGGGGCUUUCCUUGAAUGUUACUGUGCAGACUGUACUGUCUUCUGCCCCUGUGGUGGAAGAAGAGGUGGCUUGCUUCUGGUUCUUGUUGGGCCAUACCCAAAUGGUGCACUUGCAAUUUCUCAUGGAAAUUGUCAAUGGGCUGCAUGGGUAGGUAUGUAUGAGGAAAAUGGAAAGGCAAGAAGUGCACUCCAAUUGGGGCAGCAAAUGCUGCUUUCAUCCUGAAAUUGGCCAUAUGUCCAUAGCAUUCAGUUCUGAGUCCAGCUGUGGAGAAGAGCCCUCCAUUCUUCUCUCCCUCAGCCUUUAUCUCCCAUCUUUUCCUCUUGCUCACUUCCAGAUAUUUGCCUGACCUCAUCUUUGCUUUUCAGUAUUUGAUGUUUGGGGUUUUUUUCCUGCAAAAGUAAAACAUUUCAGCAUGCAACAGCCUGCAGUGGCAGAAUGGCAUUUCUCAGCCCUAUCCUGCAGUCAAGCUGAGCGGAUCCUUCUGUUCACUGUCCUGGAUGUCAGUGCUUUGCCAGUUUGAUGAAGUGAAAAUGGGAAAACUACCAUUCUUGUAAAUGUUGCACACGUUUCCCAAUUGUUGUAGGAAACUGUUUUGUAAUUAAUAGAGACUAUUCAGUUGUGCCUUAAAUAUCGUAGUCCAAGUUUGCUUUGUAACAACAUAUUUUGGCAAAAUG
This is an RNA transcript of Ornithorhynchus anatinus (platypus), 1745 nucleotides long. It is a transcript of the gene named CKLF like MARVEL transmembrane domain containing 7, with no coding region annotated. Lineage: Eukaryota; Metazoa; Chordata; Mammalia; Monotremata; Ornithorhynchidae. The transcript has 6 exons. The record is from RefSeq and is a predicted model, not a curated record.